AGCGCCCGCCGCCCGAUCGCCGGCGGCCAUCCCUAGCUCCCACAGCUCCGGUCCGGUCGCUUCGUCUCCGCCUUCGCGAGACCGUUUCAGCUUUAUACAGGUGACGUCGCAGGUCCGAGUGGGACGGCAGGUGAGGAGCGAGUCUAGCGCGCGUUAGAGCUCCGUCCCGUUUGGUUAUCUCUUUUCCCUUGCUUGAAUAAAUAGUAAACUUUCAUUACGGUUCAGUUUCAUUCGGUACUUGAAUAUUCAGUUUUCUGCUGGGUUUUCGUGAUAAAAAGAGAUUUAUGGGCUUUUCAAGUAAAAUGGUUUUCUACCCCUCGUGGUAGCGCUUGCUUUAAAAAGAAAAAGGGUUUUCAUAUUCGAUACAGUUUUCGAUGGUUUUCUACCCCUCGUGGUAGCGUUUUAAAAGAUAAAGGUUUCUGUGUGGGAAACAUUUCAAAUGAUAGUUCUGGAUUUAUGUUUAAAACUUGGAAUACUGUCGUGUUGUGAAUGGUGAAUGUAUGAACGUUUGCAUGUGCGGUUGAGAUUGCGUGUUCAUAUGGUUGUGGUUGUAUUCUGGUUGUACUCUGAUUGUGUACCUGUACUUGUGCGACGCCGUGCAAAUACAGGGGAGACUCUGUCCGUGUGAACAGUGGAUUCCCUGUAUUUGUGGCGGA
Molecule: long non-coding RNA, 656 nt
Organism: Ananas comosus (pineapple)
Lineage: Eukaryota; Viridiplantae; Streptophyta; Magnoliopsida; Poales; Bromeliaceae
Exons: 3
Source: RefSeq, a predicted model, not a curated record